UCUUCUUCUUCUUCUUCUUCGUUUGGCCAUCUAGUCUUCAAUUCUCUCUCUCUCCAGUGGGUCUAGCAGUGCAUGCAAACCAGGGGGCUUCGAUGGUGACAUAGCGGUGUUGGUUUGAGAAUUUUUGUUGUGUGGCUUCAUUUGGGUGUGGGAUUUCUGGAUGAUAAAUUAUCAAAAAGUGUAGGAGUCUCAAAGAGCAAGAUUUCAUCUCCAAUUUCUGUAGUAGCUUUCACAGUUCUUGGUAAUAAUGUCUAAAAGUACCAAGGUUUUUUAACUUCUUUGGGCAAUUCAAUUGGCAAUGAAGUAUGGGAAUCCAGGCUUGUCAUCAACAAUUGCAGCCUCUAUGGUAAGCGAAACUUCUUGAGGAUACUACUUUGAUAGAUUUAUUUCAAUGUACAUUAACAAGGAAAGUUGGCCAAUAACUUAUUUAUUUUAAAGUCAUUAGAAAUUUUAAUUAUUUAUAAAUUUAUUUUUGCAUUUUGGCUAGUUGAUCCCCAAAUUAAUUCCUUAAUCUCUCUCCCUUGUCCCUCUCUAUCUCCCUCUCCCUCUCAUGUCUCUCCCCCUCCACUGUUUCUCUUCCUUUCCCUCUCCUGUCAAAGAUAAUCUAACAUUUCUCUGCAAAAAUGAGAGCCAACAAUCCAAUUUCAGCCAAAAUAAGCAACUGAA
This 666-nucleotide unclassified non-coding RNA is filed under the name Hevea brasiliensis (rubber tree). The record is from RNAcentral. Lineage: Eukaryota; Viridiplantae; Streptophyta; Magnoliopsida; Malpighiales; Euphorbiaceae.